This 125-nucleotide small RNA is filed under the name Marmota monax (woodchuck). The record is from RNAcentral. Lineage: Eukaryota; Metazoa; Chordata; Mammalia; Rodentia; Sciuridae.
GCUGGGCGUGGUGGUGCACACUUGUAAUCCCAGUGGCUCGGGAGGCUGAGGCAGGAGGAUCAUGAGUUCCAAGCCAGCCUCAGCAAAAGUGAGGAGCUAAGCAACUCAUCGAGACCCUGUCUCUA